Molecule: ribosomal RNA, 292 nt
Filed under: uncultured bacterium
Lineage: Bacteria
Description: partial 16S ribosomal RNA
Rfam family: Bacterial small subunit ribosomal RNA
Source: RNAcentral
GUGGAUUAGAUACCCUGGUAGUCCUAGCCGUAAACGGUGCACGUUUGCUGUGAGUGGAAUCGACCCCACUCGUGGCGAAGCUAACGCGUUAAACGUGCCGCCUGGGAAGUACGGUCGCAAGAUUAAAACUCAAAGAAAUUGACGGGGGCCUGCACAAGCGGUGGAGUAUGUGGCUUAAUUCGAUGCAACGCGAAGAACCUUACCUGGCCUUGACAUGUAGGUAGUAGAACCGUGAAAGCGGGACGAGGUAGCAAUACCAGCCUACACAGGUGCUGCACGGCUGUCGCCAACU